GAAUAUUGGACAAUGGGGGGAACCCUGAUCCAGCCAUGCCGCGUGUGUGAAGAAGGCCUUUUGGUUGUAAAGCACUUUAAGCGAGGAGGAGGCUACUCUAGUUAAUACCUAGGGAUAGGGGAACGUCCUCGCAGACUAAGCACCGGCUAACUCUGUUCCAGCAGCCGCGGUAAUACGGAGGGUGCAAGCUUUAAUCGGAUUUACUGGGCGUAAAGCGCGCGUAGGUGGCCAAUUAAGUCAAAUGUGAAAUCCCCGAGCUUAACUUGGGAAUUGCAUUCGAUACUGGUUGGCUAGAGUAUGGGAGAGGAUGGUAGAAUUCCAGGUGUAGCGGUGAAAUGCGUAGAGAUCUGGAGGAAUACCGAUGGCGAAGGCAGCCAUCUGGCCUAAUACUGACACUGAGGUGCGAAAGCAUGGGGAGCAAACA
RNAcentral lists this ribosomal RNA (424 nucleotides) under uncultured bacterium. Its description in RNAcentral is "bacterial SSU rRNA". It matches the Rfam family "Bacterial small subunit ribosomal RNA", at positions 359 to 774 of the family's 1533-position model. The record is from RNAcentral.